This 421-nucleotide ribosomal RNA is filed under the name uncultured bacterium. Its description in RNAcentral is "bacterial SSU rRNA". It matches the Rfam family "Bacterial small subunit ribosomal RNA", at positions 917 to 1341 of the family's 1533-position model. The record is from RNAcentral.
GGGUCCGCACAAGCGGUGGAGCAUGUGGUUUAAUUCGAUGAUACGCGAGGAACCUUACCUAGGCUCGAAUGCGAGUGCUACCUGCUGAAAAGCGGGGUUUCUUCGGAACACAAAGCAAGGUGCUGCAUGGUUGUCGUCAGCUCGUGCCGUGAGGUGUUGGGUUAAGUCCCGCAACGAGCGCAACCCUUAUUGCUAGUUGCCAGCAUUUAGUUGGGGACUCUAGCAAGACUGCCGGCGCAAGCCGUGAGGAAGGUGGGGAUGACGUCAAAUCAUCAUGGCCUUUAUGCCUAGGGCUACACACGUGCUACAAUGGACGAGACAAAGGGUCGCUAACCCGCAAGGGGGUGCUAAUCUCAUAAACUCGUUCCCAGUUCGGAUUGGGGUCUGCAACUCGACCCCAUGAAGUCGGAAUCGCUAGUAA